GACGAACCGUACAAACGUUAUUCGGAAUUACUGGGCUUAAAGGGUGCGUAGGCGGUGCUGAAAGUUGGGUGUGAAAGCCCUCGGCUUAACCGAGGAACUGCGCUCAAAACUACAGCACUCGAGGGAGACAGAGGUGAGCGGAACUUAGGGUGGAGCGGUGAAAUGCGUUGAUAUCCUAAGGAACACCAGUGGCGAAAGCGGCUCACUGGGUCUCUUCUGACGCUGAGGCGCGAAAGCCAGGGGAGCAAACGGGGAUUAGAUACCCCGGUAGUCCCUGAGCGGG
RNAcentral lists this ribosomal RNA (283 nucleotides) under uncultured prokaryote. RNAcentral's name for it is "partial 16S ribosomal RNA". It matches the Rfam family "Bacterial small subunit ribosomal RNA", at positions 524 to 803 of the family's 1533-position model. The record is from RNAcentral.